GCUGGCGGCAGGCCUAACACAUGCAAGUCGAGCGGCCGUAGCAAUACGGCAGCGGCAGACGGGAGAGUAACACGUGGGAACGCGCCCUUCGGUCCGGGAUAACCCAGGGAAACUUGGGCUAAUACCGGAUACGCCCUUACGGGGAAAGAUUUAUUGCCGAAGGAACGGCCCGCGUCCGACUAGCUAGUUGGUGAGGUAACGGCUCACCAAGGCGACGAUCGGUAGCUGGUCUGAGAGGAUGACCAGCCUCACUGGGACUGAGACACGGCCCAGACUCCUACGGGAGGCAGCAGUGGGGAAUAUUGGACAAUGGGCGCAAGCCUGAUCCAGCCAUGCCGCGUGGGUGAUGAAGGCCCUAGGGUUGUAAAGCCCUUUCAGCGGGGAAGAUAAUGACGGUACCCGCAGAAGAAGCCCCGGCUAACUUCGUGCCAGCAGCCGCGGUAAUACGAAGGGGGCUAGCGUUGCUCGGAAUUACUGGGCGUAAAGCGCACGUAGGCGGCUUUCUAAGUCGGGGGUGAAAUCCUGGAGCUCAACUCCAGAACUGCCUUCGAUACUGGAAAGCUCGAGUCCGGGANAGGUGA
Molecule: ribosomal RNA, 581 nt
Filed under: uncultured soil bacterium
Lineage: Bacteria
Description: bacterial SSU rRNA
Rfam family: Bacterial small subunit ribosomal RNA
Source: RNAcentral